RNAcentral lists this ribosomal RNA (251 nucleotides) under uncultured bacterium. Its description in RNAcentral is "partial 16S ribosomal RNA". It matches the Rfam family "Bacterial small subunit ribosomal RNA", at positions 85 to 339 of the family's 1533-position model. The record is from RNAcentral.
UUGGUGGCGAGUGGCGGACGGGUGAGUAACGCGUAGGAAUCUACCCAAUAGCGGGGGAUAGCCCGGGGAAACUCGGAUUAAUACCGCAUACGCCCCACGGGGGAAAGGCCGGGAUCUUCGGACCGGUCACUAUUGGAUGAGCCUGCGUAAGAUUAGCUAGUUGGUAGGGUAAAGGCCUACCAAGGCGACGAUCUUUAGCUGGUCUGAGAGGGCGACCGGCCACACUGGGACUGAGACACGGCCCAGACUCC